UUAAUUGAGAUCUGAUUACAAAAAAAAAAAAAGAGAAUCUUUAUUUGUAUUUGCAGAAGAAGAAGAGAAAAAGUUUGAAAGAAAAUGGGAGCAGCGAAGAAUAUCUGGGCAUUAGCCA
RNAcentral lists this small RNA (118 nucleotides) under Arabidopsis thaliana (thale cress). Its description in RNAcentral is "ATSL112820". Lineage: Eukaryota; Viridiplantae; Streptophyta; Magnoliopsida; Brassicales; Brassicaceae. The record is from RNAcentral.